AGGACUGUAGCUCAGUUGGUUAGAGCGCGCCCCUGAUAAGGGUGAGGUCGGUAGUUCAAAUCUACUCAGUCCUACCA
RNAcentral lists this transfer RNA (77 nucleotides) under Moritella yayanosii. RNAcentral describes it as "tRNA-Ile". It matches the Rfam family "tRNA". From Rfam's summary of the family: Transfer RNA (tRNA) molecules are approximately 80 nucleotides in length. Their secondary structure includes four short double-helical elements and three loops (D, anti-codon, and T loops). Further hydrogen bonds mediate the characteristic L-shaped molecular structure. tRNAs have two regions of fundamental functional importance: the anti-codon, which is responsible for specific mRNA codon recognition, and the 3' end, to which the tRNAs corresponding amino acid is attached (by aminoacyl-tRNA synthetases). tRNAs cope with the degeneracy of the genetic code in two manners: having more than one tRNA (with a specific anti-codon) for a particular amino acid; and 'wobble' base-pairing, i.e. permitting non-standard base-pairing at the 3rd anti-codon position. RNAcentral also lists the same sequence under 9 other names. Lineage: Bacteria; Pseudomonadati; Pseudomonadota; Gammaproteobacteria; Alteromonadales; Moritellaceae. The record is from RNAcentral.